UACGGGGGGGGCAAGCGUUGUUCGGAAUUACUGGGCGUAAAGGGCUCGUAGGCGGCCAACUAAGUCGGACGUGAAAUCCCCAGGCUCAACCUGGGAACUGCGUCCGAUACUGGAUGGCUUGAAUUCGGGAGAGGGAUGCAGAAUUCCAGGUGUAGCGGUGAAAUGCGUAGAUAUCUGGAGGAAUACCGGUGGCGAAGGCGGCAUCCUGGACCGACAUUGACGCUGAUGAGCGAAAGCGAGGGGAGCAAACGGG
Molecule: ribosomal RNA, 253 nt
Filed under: uncultured bacterium
Lineage: Bacteria
Description: partial 16S ribosomal RNA
Rfam family: Bacterial small subunit ribosomal RNA
Source: RNAcentral